Molecule: non-coding RNA, 2286 nt
Organism: Misgurnus anguillicaudatus (oriental weatherfish)
Lineage: Eukaryota; Metazoa; Chordata; Actinopteri; Cypriniformes; Cobitidae
Source: RefSeq, a predicted model, not a curated record
GACUAAAGAGAUGACGCGUGCCCGGAAAAUCAAAGAUGGCGGCGCUCAUUAAAGUGCACAGUUUCAUCAAAACAAAUAAAUGUUUAUAACUGGGUGAACAUCUUACGAAACAGAAGAUUGCACAUAAACCUUCUCAUAACACACAGUUUGUGUCACGAUUGCUGUCUCUUCAAAAUGUGUCUAGCGAGUGAACACUUCCUGGUUAUGCUUCCCAGAAUUCCUCUGUGGGUUCUUUGUCAUCCAACACCUGAAACUGGAGCAUGUACAGUAGAGCCACACCCACAACUCACACAUCACCCUUCAAUGAACUCCACUGGAGGUGUUAGCUAUACAGCGCACACGCGUGUCCUCCGGGCAUAUGCUCUAUUCAGCAAUAUAGAGGUGAUCUUUCAUUUUGACAGGCCAUCAGAUCUCAUUUCAUGUAAGAUGUGGAGAUACUGGUUUGCUGAGCACAAGUGUUCAUUUGUUAUGAUUCUGUAAAACCAACAGACUCAUAAAGAGAUGUAAGCUUUUGGUUUACUAGGCAGGGAUUAUAAGUCUCAGGGAGAGCCGUACUCAUCUGUGAUUUCUUGCGUUUGUGAUAAAACUACAGCGAAUACUCCACGUUAAAGAAGCAUCAGAUGUGUUGGGAUUAGAAACAGGAAUGAUGCUGAGACGCACAAGCUGUUUUUAAACACAACAAACAUAAUGCAUUUAAUGUCUUACGAAACCACAGACCUGAAAAUCAGAUCAGUCGUAUUGAUGUGAACCUCUGAACAUUGAUGUUGAUUUCACAAUCAUUCAUUUAUUUAGUCAAGUGGUUCAUACAAAAAAACACUGUCCUUUAAAUGCUUAUUCCUCCACUUUGCAUUAGUACAAUAGUUUUGAAGCUGCAUUAGUGUGCAAUAUGUACAAUUUUGUUUUUACAUUAAAGGGCACCAAUUUUAUUGCUAAAACAAGGUUAUUUUGUGUAUUUGAUAUAAUACAAUGCGUUCGCAUGGUUUAUGGUUCAAAAACCCAUUAUUUUCCACAUACCGUACAUUUUUGGGGCUUCAGAUACCCCUGUCUUCCUGAAACGCACAGAUUUUGUACAAAACUAACUCAUCGAUUUAAAAAGCUCUGUGUCCCUGAUUGGCCAGCUAAUUUCUACGUUGUGAUUGGUCUGAAUAUCUCUGACGUCAAUGUGACGCUCCUUACCAUGUUUGAAAGAUUCGCUCAAAAUGCAAUGCUGACAGGAGUUAACAUAAAGGCUAAAGUCCAAUUUAUAGUCAUGCGUAAGGUCUACGGCAUAGGUUGACCAUAGCCUCUGCGAAGCCUGAAGUGCACCUCACAACAUUUUUAACAGCGUGCCAGUUCUACGCGGACCGCAAACGCUGUGAUUGGCCUUUUGCAUAUCAUUAAAGGUGCAGUGUGUAAUUUUAGCGGCAUCUAGUGGUGAGGUGCUGGUGAAUUGCAACCAAUGACUCAGUCCACUGCUUACGUUUUUUGAUCACAUAGAGAAGGUACAGUAGCCGCCACCGGACAAACAUGUCAUUGGAGACAACUUAGUAAAAAAAGUUUGUCCAUUAAGGGUUUAUGUAGAAACAUGGCGGCACAAAAUGGCGAUGGUCCAUGUAAGGGGACCUUCGGUAUAUGUAGAUAAAAAUGUCUCAUUCUAAGGUAAUAAACACACAAACGGUUCAUUAUGAAAGGUCUUUAUACACCACUGAUAAUAUAGUUUUGUAUAUUAUUUUGCAUUUCUGUUAAGAGAUCCUUCUAAAAAUUACACACUGCACCUUUAACAUGUACUAAUACACACUUACGGUACAUUCACACGGGGUGAAAGCGUUAACGCUUGACAGAAGGCUUGUCUGAAGCGUGGCCGACUGCCAAUCACAGGGGCCGCAACACAUGCUCCGGUCUUCCAUAAACGUAAUUGGCUGGCUCUGCCUAGGUUAUUUGCAUAAGGUGAUCUGAUUGGCUGACGCACGCGUUGCCGCUUGAAAUGUUGAGAAAUGUUCAACUUCUGCCGCGAGCAAUGGCAGUGACGAGGCGCCGACGGAUCCAGAAUUCAGUUCGGCAACGCAUUAUGUCACCCAUUAAAAGUGAAUGGGAAGCGUUAAUGCUUACGCCCCGUGUGAAUGCACCGUUACACACCAAAGGAAAUGAAAAAUCGUGAAUCGGACAAUAGGUGCCCUUUAAAGACAUGAAACAAUUUAAACACUCAAGGUUGAAGUCUAGGUUGUUCUUUUGUACUUUGGACAUUUUUAAAAACAUUGUAAUUGUAUAAAGUUUUUAGAGUCCCCUACAACAAAUGCAUACAAGGUA